This 429-nucleotide ribosomal RNA is filed under the name Acidobacteriota bacterium. RNAcentral's name for it is "Acidobacteria bacterium partial 16S ribosomal RNA". It matches the Rfam family "Bacterial small subunit ribosomal RNA", at positions 355 to 776 of the family's 1533-position model. The record is from RNAcentral. Lineage: Bacteria; Pseudomonadati; Acidobacteriota.
UGGGGAAUUUUGGACAAUGGGGGAAACCCUGAUCCAGCCAUCCCGCGUGUGCGAUGAAGGCCUUCGGGCUGUAAAGCACUUUUGGCAGGAAAGAAACGUCAUGGGUUAAUACCCCGUGAAACUGACGGUACCUGCAGAAUAAGCACCGGCUAACUACGUGCCAGCAGCCGCGGUAAUACGUAGGGUGCAAGCGUUAAUCGGAAUUACUGGGCGUAAAGCGUGCGCAGGCGGUUCGGAAAGAAAGAUGUGAAAUCCCAGAGCUCAACUUUGGGACUGCAUUUUUAACUACCGGGCUAGGGUGUGUCAGAGGGAGGUGGAAUUCCGCGUGUAGCAGUGAAAUGCGUAGAUAUGCGGAGGAACACCGAUGGCGAAGGCAGCCUCCUGGGAUAACACUGACGCUCAUGCACGAAAGCGUGGGGAGCAAACAGG